CACUCAUCUUCCUGCUCUCUGAGCUCUCCGAUUUAUCACCUCCAAGAGCCAAUGGGAAAAUCCUUCGACGUGGGAGCGGUACCCUUCAACGCCGACGGCUGGGGUCCGCCGGACGCCGCCGCAGGAGGGACGAACAAUAACCUCCCUCUCAACGUCCCCUUCGCCCCCUUCUCCCGCUCCGACAAACUGGGCCGCAUCGCCGACUGGACCCGCAACUUCAACAACCCGGCCCGGUCCAAGAACCCGGCCGACUCCGUCUUCGACUUCACCAACGACGACUCCUUCCCGGCCUCGGCCGACGACGACGCCUCCUUCCGCCUUGUCGACGGCAAGCCCCCGCCGCGGCCGAAGUUCGGUCCUAGGUGGCGCUUCCAGCAGCAGCGGCAGCUCCCGCAGCGGCGCGACGAGGAAGUGGAGGCUCGCAAGCGCGAAGCCGAGAAGGACCGUGCGCGACGCGAUCGGCUCUACCACAUGAACCGGUCAAACCCUAACCAGCAGCGGCGCGAAGCGGCGGUGUUCAAAUCCUCCGUUGACAUCCAACCCGAGUGGAACAUGCACGACCAGAUCCCCUUCUCCACCUUCUCCAAACUCUCCUUCACCGUCCCUGAGCCCGAGGAUCUUCUCCUCUGCGGCGCCCUCGAGUACUACGACCGCUCCUACGACCGCAUAACCCCCAAAAACGAGCGCCGCCUCGAGCGUUUCAAGAAUCGCAACUUCUUCAAAGUCACUACCACCGAUGACCCCGUCAUCCGCCGACUCGCCAACGAGGACAAAGCCACCGUCUUCGCCACCGACACUAUCCUCUCCACCCUCAUGUGCGCUCCCAGGUCUGUUUAUUCAUGGGACAUUGUCGUCCAGCGUGUCGGGAACAAGCUCUUCUUCGACAAGCGCGAUGGGUCGCAGCUUGACUUGCUCUCCGUCCACGAGACCUCGCAGGAGCCCUUGCCGGAGGCCAAGGAUGACAUUAACUCCGCUCAUUCUCUCAGCGUCGAGGCUGCUUAUAUCAACCAGAAUUUCUCGCAGCAGGUUCUGAUUAGGGACGGGAAUAAGGUCACUCUUGAUGAGGCUAAUCCUUUUGCUAAUGAAGGGGAGGAGGUCGCUUCCGUUGCUUAUAGGUAUCGUAGGUGGAAGCUUGAUGAUGAUAUGUAUCUUGUUGCCAGGUGUGAGGUGCAUAGUGUGGUUGAUGUGAAUAAGCAGAGGUCGUUCCUUACUUUGAAUGCUUUGAAUGAGUUUGAUCCUAAGUAUUCUGGUGUGGAUUGGAGGCAGAAGUUGGAGACUCAGAGGGGUGCUGUGUUGGCCACUGAGCUUAAGAAUAAUGCGAAUAAGUUGGCUAAGUGGACUGCUCAGGCUCUGUUGGCCAGUGCGGAUAUGAUGAAGUUGGGUUAUGUGUCGAGGAUUCAUCCCCGUGAUCAUUUUAAUCAUGUGAUUUUGGCUGUGGUGGGGUAUAAGCCAAGGGACUUUGCGGCGCAGAUUAAUUUGAACACCGCGAAUAUGUGGGGGAUUGUCAAGUCUAUUGUGGAUUUGUGUAUGAAAUUGAAUGAGGGGAAAUAUGUGCUUGUGAAGGAUCCUUCUAAGCCUCAGGUUAGGAUUUAUGAGGUUCCAGCGGAUGCUUUUGAGAAUGACUAUGUGGAGGAGCCACUUCCGGAGGAGGAACAAGUUCAGCCUCCGGCGGAAGGUGCCGAGGGAGGAGAGGCAGCUGCUACCACUAAUGACGUGGAAGAUAAGCCUGUAGAUGAUAAAGCGACUUAAAAGUUACUCACUUUAUAUCCAUGUAUUGGUCGGUUUUUUUAGAAGAAUCAAACUGAACUUAUCCACUUUGUAAAGAUGGAUCAGAAGUCAUAAUUUGGAUCUUGCAUUCUGAUGACGUGAGUUUUUGGCUCGGGGCAGGUCAGUUGUUGCUGGAGUUGAUGGCCGUUCAUAUGGGAGCAGAUCGCACUUGAAUCAUUUUCAUUUUCCCACUGUUUAUAUGUCGGUCAAAAUUUUGCAUUUUAACUUCGUGAUGUUCCUUUUGGACCAAAAGUAACAUGAGUUUUUUUUAUGCUACAGCUGUUUAUGAUUUGCAGACCUUAGCAUAUUUAAAGUGGAAUCACCAAAUUGUAUUACGUAUUUGGACUCCAGGGCUAUUAAGAUAAUUCAUGAGUUUAAUAUUUUAUUUUGCUUA
This is an RNA transcript of Cajanus cajan (pigeon pea), 2161 nucleotides long. It is a transcript of the gene named Eukaryotic translation initiation factor 3 subunit 7 (eIF-3), with no coding region annotated. The record is from RefSeq and is a predicted model, not a curated record. Lineage: Eukaryota; Viridiplantae; Streptophyta; Magnoliopsida; Fabales; Fabaceae.